RNAcentral lists this ribosomal RNA (269 nucleotides) under bacterium enrichment culture clone ALO1_GLFRUDD03F9Z04. RNAcentral describes it as "partial 16S ribosomal RNA". It matches the Rfam family "Bacterial small subunit ribosomal RNA", at positions 9 to 278 of the family's 1533-position model. The record is from RNAcentral.
GAGUUUGAUCUUGGCUCAGAUUGAACGCUGGCGGCAUGCCUUACACAUGCAAGUCGAACGGCAGCACGGGAGCUUGCUCCUGGUGGCGAGUGGCGAACGGGUGAGUAAUGCAUCGGAACGUAUCCUGGAGUGGGGGAUAACGUAGCGAAAGUUACGCUAAUACCGCAUAUUCUGUGAGCAGGAAAGCGGGGGACCUUCGGGCCUCGCGCUCUUGGAGCGGCCGAUGUCGGAUUAGCUAGUUGGUGAGGUAAAGGCUCACCAAGGCGACG